This is a non-coding RNA of Poecilia reticulata (guppy), 1037 nucleotides long. The record is from RefSeq and is a predicted model, not a curated record. NCBI's taxonomy places the organism in Eukaryota, Metazoa, Chordata, Actinopteri, Cyprinodontiformes, Poeciliidae.
CUCCUCUCCCACCCACCCUCACUCUCAUUUCUCACCAGGCUUGAAACGGUCAGGAAGAUCAGAACCCUAAAUAUUUUGUGGGGGGUUUUUUUUGGCUGUUGUGACAUUUCUGGAGAAAACUGGGAGGGAUUGUAAUCUCUGAAGAUGAACAAAAAUUCCUUUCUUUUUUUUUUUUGCAGAAAAUGUCUCGAGGCUCGUAUAUUGUAUAUGUAUCCUCUAAAUAAAUCUCCUUAUUAACUAAAAACAUCGUAGUUUGUUUUGCAAAACCUACAUAAAGUAACAUUCCAAAAGUGUGAAUUUCCUGUGUGAAAUUUAACGUCCGGAUAAAAACAUUUGUUGUACGAAGGCCUCCGAGAACAUCAGGAAACAAACCGUGUCUAGAAGACCAAAGAACUUGUCAGGGAGAUAAAGACCGCUUCAUCCAUCUUCUAAAAAUAAAGACCAAGGCUGACGUAGAGAGACAGACCGGGCAGGAAGGGUAUUGAUCUGAAAAGCAGCCUGCAGGCCGCUGGUAGCUCUGGGGGAGCUGCAGGGAUUCACAGCCGAGACAGCAGAAUGUGUUUUGCAGGACAUCGUUCAGAUAAGCGCUCCACAAAUAUGACCUUUAUGAAAGAAUGACAAAAAUACUUUGUUUGAAUCUUUUUAAAGUUUGUAGAACAUUAACAAAACAUAAGCAACAUGUCAACUUCCCUUCCUGACCCACGCCAAAAGUACAAAAAUAAAUAAAAUUCAGGAGAGCAAAACAACACAAAGGCAGUUCGUGAGACGUAGAAACUUUUUAACAUGACUAUCCAGAAUCUAAUGGGUCGCUAGCAUGGCGUCUACGUAGGUCACCAUGCUAGUGACCCACCACGCUAGAUCUCUAGCAACUCUUGUUGAAUGUGUAGAAAACCUUGAAUUGCUGCUCACAGAUAAAACUUUGUCUAAUCAGACUGAGCUGAAGAAGCAACUGAGAAACGUUUCAGUCUUCUAUUGACCCAGCACGCCAGACACAAACUAUGAACAACAUUUUUUCAGACUUUUACUUGUACAAAAUG